UGAUAUACAUGCUUGCGUGCGACGCUAUU
Molecule: non-coding RNA, 29 nt
Filed under: Bombyx mori (domestic silkworm)
Lineage: Eukaryota; Metazoa; Arthropoda; Insecta; Lepidoptera; Bombycidae
Source: RNAcentral